RNAcentral lists this ribosomal RNA (253 nucleotides) under uncultured bacterium. RNAcentral's name for it is "partial 16S ribosomal RNA". It matches the Rfam family "Bacterial small subunit ribosomal RNA", at positions 524 to 776 of the family's 1533-position model. The record is from RNAcentral.
UACGGAAGGUGCAAACGUUGCUCGGAAUCAUUGGGCGUAAAGCGCACGUAGGCGGCUUGUUAAGUCGGAUGUGAAAGCCCUGGGCUCAACCCAGGAAGUGCAUUCGAAACUGGCGAGCUUGAAUAUGGAAGAGGGUCGCGGAAUUCCCGGUGUAGAGGUGAAAUUCGUAGAUAUCGGGAGGAACACCAGUGGCGAAGGCGGCGACCUGGGCCAAUAUUGACGCUGAGGUGCGAAAGCGUGGGGAGCAAACAGG